AACGCACAUAGCGCCCACCAGCACUCUGGUGGGCAUGCCCGUCCGAGCGUCGAUGACGCCGCUCGAGCCCGCUUUCGCGUGGGCUCGGUGUUGAGGCACUAGGGAUCUUCUAGGCCUUUAAAAUCAUUGUGCGGCCCCCGCUACAGGACCCGAGCACAGUAGACCUCUCAUGUUGAGCUGCUCUGGGCCCCGCGCGGCGGUGCCAGCCAUAAAAACCCCGACACAGGCUCCCGCUUUUUAACCGGGAUGCCGCCUGAUGUUGACCUCGGAUCGGGUAGGACGACCCGCUGAACUUAA
This 297-nucleotide unclassified non-coding RNA is filed under the name uncultured fungus. RNAcentral describes it as "partial contains 5.8S ribosomal RNA, internal transcribed spacer 2, and large subunit ribosomal RNA". Lineage: Eukaryota; Fungi. The record is from RNAcentral.